CCUGCGGAAGGAUCAUUACCGAGUGCGGGCCUCGCGGCCCAACCUCCCACCCUUGUCUCUCUACCCCUGUUGCUUUGGCGGGCCCACCGGGGCCACCUGGUCGCCGGGGGACGCACGUCCCCGGACCCGCGCCCGCCGAAGCGCUCUGUGAACCCUGAUGAAGAUGGGCUGUCUGAGUACGAUGAAAAUUGUCAAAACUUUCAACAAUGGAUCUCUUGGUUCCGGCAUCGAUGAAGAACGCAGCGAAAUGCGAUAAGUAAUGUGAAUUGCAGAAUUCCGUGAAUCAUCGAAUCUUUGAACGCACAUUGCGCCCCCUGGCAUUCCGGGGGGCAUGCCUGUCCGAGCGUCAUUUCUGCCCUCAAGCACGGCUUGUGUGUUGGGUGUGGUCCCCCCGGGGACCUGCCCGAAAGGCAGCGGCGACGUCCGUCUGGUCCUCGAGCGUAUGGGGCUCUGUCACUCGCUCGGGAAGGACCUGCGGGGGUUGGUCACCACCAUAUUUUACCACGGUUGACCUCGGAUCAGGUAG
Molecule: ribosomal RNA, 526 nt
Filed under: Talaromyces pinophilus
Lineage: Eukaryota; Fungi; Ascomycota; Eurotiomycetes; Eurotiales; Trichocomaceae
Description: eukaryotic LSU rRNA
Rfam family: 5.8S ribosomal RNA (bases 196-349)
Source: RNAcentral